UCCGGUUUGUCACCGGCAGUCUCUGCAGCUUUCCGGCAUAUGUCAAACCCAGGUAAGGUUCUUCGCGUUGCAUCGAAUUAAUCCGCAUGCUCCGCCGCUUGUGCGGGCCCCCGUCAAUUCCUUUGAGUUUUAGCCUUGCGGCCGUACUCCCCAGGCGGGGCACUUAAUGCGUUAGCUUCGGCACGGAGAACGUGGAAUGUCCCCCACACCUAGUGCCCACCGUUUACGGCGUGGACUAC
This 239-nucleotide unclassified non-coding RNA is filed under the name uncultured Propionibacteriaceae bacterium. Its description in RNAcentral is "contains 16S-23S intergenic spacer region". Lineage: Bacteria; Bacillati; Actinomycetota; Actinomycetes; Propionibacteriales; Propionibacteriaceae. The record is from RNAcentral.